UUGGAGGGCAAGUCUGGUGCCAGCAGCCGCGGUAAUUCCAGCUCCAAUAGCGUAUAUUAAAGUUGUUGCAGUUAAAAAGCUCGUAGUUGAAUUUCGGGGUCAGUAGGUUGGUCAUGCCACUGGUAUGUACUGGUCUCACUGAUCCCUCCUUCCUGAUGAACUGUAAUGCCAUUAAUUUGGUGUUGCAGGGAAUCUGGACUGUUACUUUGAAAAAAUUAGAGUGUUUAAAGCAGGCUAACGCCUGAAUACAUUAGCAUGGAAUAAUGAAAUAGGACGUUCGAUCCUAUUUUGUUGGUUUCUAGGAUUGACGUAAUGAUUAAUAGGGAUAGUCGGGGGCAUUAGUAUUCAAUUGUCAGAGGUGAAAUUCUUGGAUUUAUUGAAGACUAACUACUGCGAAAGCAUUUGCCAAGGAUGUUUUCAUUAAUCAAGAACGAAAGUUAGGGGAUCGAAGACGAUCAGAUACCGUCGUAGUCUUAACCAUAAACUAUGCCGACUAGGGAUCGGAUGAUGUUAAUUUUUUAAUGACUCGUUCGGCGCCUUACGGGAAAC
This 549-nucleotide ribosomal RNA is filed under the name uncultured Rhizophagus. Its description in RNAcentral is "SSU rRNA". It matches the Rfam family "Eukaryotic small subunit ribosomal RNA", at positions 548 to 1098 of the family's 1831-position model. Lineage: Eukaryota; Fungi; Glomeromycota; Glomeromycetes; Glomerales; Glomeraceae. The record is from RNAcentral.